Long non-coding RNA from Anguilla anguilla (European eel), 266 nucleotides. RefSeq lists it as uncharacterized. Lineage: Eukaryota; Metazoa; Chordata; Actinopteri; Anguilliformes; Anguillidae. The transcript is spliced from 3 exons. The record is from RefSeq and is a predicted model, not a curated record.
AUAUAUAUCUGAGGGGGCAUUUAAAAAAACGCUACCGGUGCCCGGAAGACUCGCUCUCGACGCUAAGUAUUCGUGCACAGCUUGGAACGAGGCCAGCCAAGAGAAAAGCGAGGAUACAACAGUUCGGUGUGAAGUCCAGUUGUCCUUAAAGGUGAUGUCACAAAAUGAGGAAGUGAGAGAAGGAGAAGAUGUGUCCAUCCUCUGUGCCAGCACCCCACCUGCAGACCAGUACAUUGUCUGGACACCCAGAAAGCAGUCCCUCUCGC